AGUUUGAUCCUGGCUCAGAACGAACGCUGGCGGCAGGCUUAAGACAUGCAAGUCGAGCGCACCUUCGGGUGAGCGGCAGACGGGUGAGUAACGCGUGGGAACCUACCUUUCGGAUCGGAAUAACUUCGGGAAACCGAAGCUAACACCGGAUACGCCCUUUGGGGGAAUGAUUUAUCGCCGAGAGAUGGGCCCGCGUUGGAUUAGCUUGUUGGUGGGGUAACGGCCCACCAAGGCGACGAUCCAUAGCUGGUCUAAGAGGAUGAUCAGCCACACUGGGACUGAGACACGGCCCAGACUCCUACGGGAGGCAGCAGUCAGGAAUAUUGGACAAUGGGGGCAACCCUGAUCCAGCCAUGCCGCGUGAGUGAUGACGGCCUUAGGGUUGUAAAGCUCUUUCGCCGGUGAAGAUAAUGACGGUAACCGGUAAAGAAGCCCCGGCUAACUUCGUGCCAGCAGCCGCGGUAAUACGAAGGGGGCUAGCGUUGUUCGGAAUUACUGGGCGUAAAGCGCACGUAGGCGGACACUUAAGUCAGAGGUGAAAUCCCGGAGCUCAACUUCGGAAUUGCCUUUGAUACUGGGUGUCUCGAGUCCGA
RNAcentral lists this ribosomal RNA (593 nucleotides) under uncultured bacterium. Its description in RNAcentral is "bacterial SSU rRNA". It matches the Rfam family "Bacterial small subunit ribosomal RNA", at positions 10 to 651 of the family's 1533-position model. The record is from RNAcentral.